AGAGGCGUGGUAUAAUGGUAGCAUAGGAGUCUCCAAAACUUUUGAUGGGAGUUCGAUUCUCUCCGCCUCUGCCA
This 74-nucleotide transfer RNA is filed under the name bacterium. Its description in RNAcentral is "tRNA-Trp". It matches the Rfam family "tRNA". Rfam says of the family: Transfer RNA (tRNA) molecules are approximately 80 nucleotides in length. Their secondary structure includes four short double-helical elements and three loops (D, anti-codon, and T loops). RNAcentral also lists the same sequence under 1 other name. The record is from RNAcentral.